CGAUUCAUUAGUGGCAAUUUUUUAGUUGGCGCAUGGGUGACUGCCGGUAGAAAUUUUAAGUCUUUCUUUGGCAGUGCCGCUUAAACCCCGCGAAACCCAGGAUUUUCCCUCUCCCUCUCCCUCUCCCUCUUUUCUAAUUUCUCACCCUUUCAUAUUCCCACUCUCCUCUCUCUUUCUCUCUUAGUCGACUAGUUUUUCACCUCUUAUUCCCAAUCUCCCUCUCUCUCUCUCUCUCUCUCAACCAUUUCUGAUUUCUCAUCAGCAACGAAAUCUCCUUGGAUCUUAAGUUUGAGUUCAUUUCCCAAUGCAAAAGACUUCUCAUAAUCACGCCACAAUCUUAUUGAUUCAACGAAGUCCCUCUCUCUCCAACAAUCUUCGUUGGAUUUUCUUUUUUCUAAAACAACCUCCUCGUCUUAGGUUCUCACAUCUCACAUCCUUGUUCAUUCAUCACCGGAAAAAGGAAAAAACCAGGUUUGAGUACAUAUGCCAAUGAUCCCUAAAAGGUUGUAGAUUCUUAGCUAUCUCUUUUGGAGCAAGUAGAAUAUGGUGUUCCUAAAGAGUUGUGUCACAAGACACCAGUCAGAGUUGGGCAAUGGUAGGUUUGAGGGCAUUGGGAGGUGAUGCUUCAGAUAGAAUUUUGCAAGUGGUUAGGGAUUUUCAUGAAGACAAAAGUUCCCUGAAGUCAAAACCAGAGUGGGCUUUCUAUGAUUUGAUGAUGUGGGAGAAGCGAUGUGGUAUCUUACUGGAUGGAAUAGCAUAGAUGCAGCAAGGAUGACUCCAUUACCACCAUGAAGAAGGAUUAGAGACCCAGAUUUUUUUCUCUCUCUUACAGGGAAUUUAUACUGUUUAUGUUGAGAAGCUAUGUAGAGGUGGAAAUCUAUUGGAUUUUGCAAGAUUACUACAUCAUCUACGCAAUAAGUAGGUAUUAUUGAGUGAAAAUUCAUAUAAUGCCCUCUUGAUGGCCGCUGGUUAAGGGAAUGAUUUUGAGCUUCUGUUUUAAAUAUUCAAGGAUUUCUUGGUCUCUUGUCAAACUUUGAGUUCAAUUUCAUAUUUUAAUCUUGCCAAGGGCCUUUCAAAGGCAACAAA
Nelumbo nucifera (sacred lotus) is the source of this 1086-nucleotide long non-coding RNA. RefSeq lists it as uncharacterized. NCBI's taxonomy places the organism in Eukaryota, Viridiplantae, Streptophyta, Magnoliopsida, Proteales, Nelumbonaceae. The record is from RefSeq and is a predicted model, not a curated record.